Molecule: ribosomal RNA, 253 nt
Filed under: uncultured bacterium
Lineage: Bacteria
Description: partial 16S ribosomal RNA
Rfam family: Bacterial small subunit ribosomal RNA
Source: RNAcentral
UACAAAGGGGGCUAGCGUUGCUCGGAAUCACUGGGCGUAAAGCGCAUGUAGGCGGAUUGCUAAGUCAGGGGUGAAAUCCUGGAGCUCAACUCCAGAACUGCCUUUGAUACUGGCGAUCUCGAGUCCGGGAGAGGUGAGUGGAACUGCGAGUGUAGAGGUGAAAUUCGUAGAUAUUCGCAAGAACACCAGUGGCGAAGGCGGCUCACUGGCCCGGUACUGACGCUGAGGUGCGAAAGCGUGGGGAGCAAACAGG